UUACAUUUAAGUGUACAGCAUUUAAAUUUUUGAAAUUUAAGGGUUAAUUUAAUUUAAAAAUGUA
Molecule: transfer RNA, 64 nt
Filed under: Rhinocola aceris
Lineage: Eukaryota; Metazoa; Arthropoda; Insecta; Hemiptera; Aphalaridae
Description: tRNA-Gln
Source: RNAcentral